Nematostella vectensis (starlet sea anemone) is the source of this 72-nucleotide non-coding RNA. NCBI's taxonomy places the organism in Eukaryota, Metazoa, Cnidaria, Anthozoa, Actiniaria, Edwardsiidae. The record is from Rfam.
GGCUCAGUGGUCUAGUGGUAUGAUUCUCGCUUUGGGUGCGAGAGGCUUCGGGUUCGAUUCCCGUCUGAGCGC